UCACCAGCACCUACCGGCCUGUCGCCUGCCUUUCUGCGCUUCUCUCUUACCGUUCUGCUACGAGUUAAACACAGGAGCCGCCGACAAGACGCCGCGGCCCCACGCCGGGGCUGUCACGGAGGGACUAUAUGAUGUAUACAUGCGCGCCGACCGCUCCCCCCGUCGGGCGCGGCCGUGCCACGUGACCGGCGGUACUGAGGACGCUGCCCCCGCCCCCCCCCGCGGGGAGCGUUGGGGGAAAUUUUACCCGCCAACAGAGACGCGGAGCUCGCGAGGAAGACGUCACGCAGCUCGCCACGUGGGAAGGGCGGCGCUCAUUGGCUACGGGCGAGUCGUUCACGUUCCCCAUAUCAUUCGAGUGAUGGGAGCAUUAAUGGAUCACCUAUAGAGCCUUGCGGCCAUAAAGAGCAGUGUCACCUUGGAUAGCUUUCAAAGUGCGGUUUCGCGUUUUAUCUGAUCCAACUCAACUUGCUUCUAGGAAAGAAGUCAGACCUCUUCCCCCACCCUGUUCCUGCUAAACAGUUCCACCAGCUGGCCUGGCCCCCACUGAGACAGCUCACAGCCAGAAACUCACAUGGGCCAACAGUUUUCCGCUGGCUUCAGUUCCUUCACCAUCAUUUCAGUUUGGUCACACAAGCACUGGACAGCUCCGGUGAGCUCGGAAUUUCGAUACCUGUGUCCUCCCUCACUGUGUCAGAGUUAUCCAGCUUCAAAAGGUUGAUUUUCCACAUUGCAAGCCUCACAGCACCAUCAGCUCUGAGAGCUGUGGUGGAACCUUGCUUAUUCCAACAUCAUCAUUCUGCAGCUCAGCUUGCUCUCAGCUACUUGUGCGAAAGGCUCCACUAUUUUGCAGUUCAGGCCUCAGUCGUAUUUGUGUAAAACCAUAGCCUUCACCACAUUUGCUCAGGUCUAACUGCCUGGAAUGUCUUAAACAACUUGACUGAUAAUUUGCGAGGAUGAAGUGUGACCCAAUUUCUGCUUUUAGCAGUCUGGUCUUAGCAUUGUCACUACAAAGCAGAGUAUGUUACUUCACAUCUGUAACAUGAACACUGGCUGCUGAAUUAAAAAGGGCAAUUUUCCUUC
Long non-coding RNA from Corvus hawaiiensis (hawaiian crow), 1083 nucleotides. RefSeq lists it as uncharacterized. The transcript has 2 exons. The record is from RefSeq and is a predicted model, not a curated record. NCBI's taxonomy places the organism in Eukaryota, Metazoa, Chordata, Aves, Passeriformes, Corvidae.